RNAcentral lists this transfer RNA (76 nucleotides) under Mesomycoplasma molare. RNAcentral describes it as "tRNA-His". It matches the Rfam family "tRNA". From Rfam's summary of the family: Transfer RNA (tRNA) molecules are approximately 80 nucleotides in length. Their secondary structure includes four short double-helical elements and three loops (D, anti-codon, and T loops). Further hydrogen bonds mediate the characteristic L-shaped molecular structure. tRNAs have two regions of fundamental functional importance: the anti-codon, which is responsible for specific mRNA codon recognition, and the 3' end, to which the tRNAs corresponding amino acid is attached (by aminoacyl-tRNA synthetases). tRNAs cope with the degeneracy of the genetic code in two manners: having more than one tRNA (with a specific anti-codon) for a particular amino acid; and 'wobble' base-pairing, i.e. permitting non-standard base-pairing at the 3rd anti-codon position. The record is from RNAcentral. Lineage: Bacteria; Bacillati; Mycoplasmatota; Mycoplasmoidales; Metamycoplasmataceae.
GCGGAUGUGGCGAAGUGGCUAACGCAUCGGGUUGUGGCUCCGACAUUCGCGGGUUCGAUCCCCGUCAUCCGCCCCA